Molecule: long non-coding RNA, 409 nt
Organism: Vicia villosa (hairy vetch)
Lineage: Eukaryota; Viridiplantae; Streptophyta; Magnoliopsida; Fabales; Fabaceae
Exons: 2
Source: RefSeq, a predicted model, not a curated record
CUCUCUCACCUCUCUUGUUAUUUACCUUCACAUUACUUCAUGUGCAUGAGCCACAAUACUUCAUCAAAUGGGGUGGCUUCAAUCCCUCUUCUCUCCGGUCAAAAAGCUAUGGUUCAGGUUGAAUUCAACUCAAAAGAAGAGAAGAGGGCUUUACAUUCUAUAUGAAGAUGUCAAAUCUUGCCCCUACGAAGACGUGCAUGUCCUCUGGUCAAUACUAGUGGAAUCACAUUCAUCUUCUUUACAAUCCCAAAAAUAAAGGCCAUGUGCACUAUGCAGGAUUGAUAAGAAGCUCAUAAUGUACAUAAAUAUAUUUACAAUGUCCAUAGUACUAGUACCAUAGUUUUUUCUUUUUCUUUUCCUUUUAACUUCUGUAGCAUCAACACAUAAUGACUAAAAUUUUGUUUUUAAA